AGAGUUUGAUCAUGGCUCAGAUUGAACGCUGGCGGCAGGCCUAACACAUGCAAGUCGAGCGGUAGCACAGAGAGCUUGCUCUCGGGUGACGAGCGGCGGACGGGUGAGUAAUGUCUGGGAAACUGCCUGAUGGAGGGGGAUAACUACUGGAAACGGUAGCUAAUACCGCAUAAUGUCGCAAGACCAAAGUGGGGGACCUUCGGGCCUCAUGCCAUCAGAUGUGCCCAGAUGGGAUUAGCUAGUAGGUGGGGUAACGGCUCACCUAGGCGACGAUCCCUAGCUGGUCUGAGAGGAUGACCAGCCACACUGGAACUGAGACACGGUCCAGACUCCUACGGGAGGCAGCAGUGGGGAAUAUUGGACAAUGGGGGCAACCCUGAUCCAGCCAUGCCGCGUGAGUGAUGACGGCCUUAGGGUUGUAAAGCUCUUUUCUCCGGGACGAUAAUGACGGUACCGGAGGAAUAAGCCCCGGCUAACUUCGUGCCAGCAGCCGCGGUAAUACGAAGGGGGCUAGCGUUGCUCGGAAUUACUGGGCGUAAAGGGAGCGUAGGCGGACAUUUAAGUCAGGGGUGAAAUCCCGGAGCUCAACUCCGGAACUGCCUUUGAUACUGGGUGUCUUGAGUGUGAGAGAGGUGAGUGGAACUCCGAGUGUAGAGGUGAAAUUCGUAGAUAUUCGGAAGAACACCAGUGGCGAAGGCGACUCACUGGCUCAUUACUGACGCUGAGGCUCGAAAGCGUGGGGAGCAAACAGGAUUAGAUACCCUGGUAGUCCACGCCGUAAACGAUGAUUGCUAGUUGUCGGGGAGCUUGCUCUUCGGUGACGCAGCUAACGCAUUAAGUGCCCCGCCUGGGGAGUACGGCCGCAAGGCUAAAACUCAAAGGAAUUGACGG
RNAcentral lists this ribosomal RNA (891 nucleotides) under uncultured bacterium. RNAcentral's name for it is "bacterial SSU rRNA". It matches the Rfam family "Bacterial small subunit ribosomal RNA", at positions 8 to 916 of the family's 1533-position model. The record is from RNAcentral.